UUCUGUACUGAGUUAUGUGUCUAUCAUGCGCAUUCCUCAAAAGUCACAUUCUUGAGGGCAUGAUGGCCUUCCUGGAAGGAUAUGACAGCAGUAUUGUCACAGAUGGCUCUGCACACUUUCUCAGGCUGAAACACUUGAAAGGGCUUUGUUUUCAGAGGAGCCAAUCAGUGAGUGGCUAGAGGACAGUGAAGUGGUCAAAGCACUGAAAACAGUGACUGAGACCCAACCCAACCCGGGGACUUGCGCAUGCUCGGCAGGUGUUCCACCAGUGAGCUGCUUCCCCAACCUCUGUAUCAAGGGCACUUGAACCUGUGGUCAUACUUGCUUUUCUUCUGGGAUGAACACUUGUCCUAAGGAGGCAUCGGUGGAAAACCUGACCUGGAGCAAUACAUCAUUAACAAUGUGUGUACUUUUCAACUAGUGUUAAGCAUCAGCAAACAGCAGGUGCUAGGAGAAAGGAGGAAGAAGA
Peromyscus eremicus (cactus mouse) is the source of this 469-nucleotide long non-coding RNA. RefSeq lists it as uncharacterized. The transcript has 4 exons. NCBI's taxonomy places the organism in Eukaryota, Metazoa, Chordata, Mammalia, Rodentia, Cricetidae. The record is from RefSeq and is a predicted model, not a curated record.